UGAGGUGGUGCCAGUUCGAACUGGACCCGUUUACAUAUUUGGGAGGAAGUUUCGGUUUCAGUGCCAGGACAGGUUAAUAUGAAGAUUGCAAGACGAAGUUAUCAAAACGAUCAGAAAGUAACUUUAUUAGUAGAAAUAAUUAUAUUUCAAUUUUUGGUAAAGUUCGUUAGUGUUAACGAAAGUUAUUUUGGAACUCUUAUAUUUGUAUUUUGUGCGUUCCUGCUCCCGCGUUGAAUGAUGCGUUUACUGUGCAACGGUCGCUUGCUUAGCAGCGUGCUUGUACAGCGAUUUUUGCCCGUUAUGUUCUUAGCGUGAUGUGUGACAUAGGCGUUGGUUUUAUAAUCUAAAUGAUUUGUCUGCAAGUUACGACAGUGCGACAGUACAAUGAGCGCCAGCGGCUGGCGGGUGGGUGUUAUAGGAUUGCAGCUUGACUACAACUGUGGAGACCGCUUUAUAUCAAACCUUAAGCUGCUGGGGCUCAAAGGAAAAUAUCGAUCCAUUAUGUGCUAUUAAGAACAUCUCAAAUACUUUGUUGAAUGAUUCAAGAUGUCCACAAGGCAGUCAAGCAAGGGACCAAUCAACCAUGAAUUCUUUGGAUCUGCCGUUGCUGGGAGCAGCAAUCCUACAAAGGGGCACCGGUUACAUACAAGCUAACCUCUGUCCGAACAGGCCGCUCUAAGUGAAGGCACUUCAACCGG
This is a long non-coding RNA of Ornithodoros turicata, 698 nucleotides long. RefSeq lists it as uncharacterized. Lineage: Eukaryota; Metazoa; Arthropoda; Arachnida; Ixodida; Argasidae. The transcript has 3 exons. The record is from RefSeq and is a predicted model, not a curated record.